UGGGGAUGAGCAUUGAGGAUGUGAUUGAGGAAUGCAAGCUGUUUUACUUUGCUGGCCAAGAGACCACUUCGGUCUUACUGGUGUGGACUAUGGUUUUAUUAGCAAGGUAUCCCGAUUGGCAAAGUAAAGCAAGAGAGGAGGUUUUGCAUGUUUUGGGUGACAGUAAACCUGAUGCUGAUGGCCUUAAUCGUCUCAAAGUUGUAAGUCCCUAGCAUGUCUUUUGAAGGUCCGAUCAAUGAGGUCGACAACUCAAAAACUUGGUUUUUUUUGUUUCGCUAAUUCUACAGGUAACAAUGAUAUUGUACGAGGUUCUAAGGUUGUACCCACCAGUGGUUGAGCUAGGACGUUCCGUUCCAAAAGAAAUAAAACUGGGGAAUUUGUUGUUACCAGCAGGAGCAGAAGUUUCGGUUCCGAUCCUGCAGAUCCACCAUGACAAAGAUCUUUGGGGUGACGACGCACGGGAAUUUAAGCCAGAGCGGUUGGCGGAAGGGGUUUCCAAAGCAACAAAGAGUCAAGUCACGUUUCUGCCAUUCGGAUGGGGUCCUAGGAUCUGUAUUGGCCAAAAUUUUGCCAUGAUGGAAGCCAAAAUGGCGAUGGCUAUGAUUCUCCAACGCUUCUGGUUCGAGCUUUCCCCUUCCUAUGCUCACUCUCCUUACAGCAGGGCAACUCUUCGUCCACAGCAUGGUGCACAGAUAGUUUUACAUAAACUUGGCUCUAAUUGAAUUGUUAUGUAAACAGAUCUUUUUGAAAAUAUAGCGUUUUAGUGUAUCGUCAAAGUCCGGUGUCUGUAAUGGUACAAUUCCGAUGCAUGAAUAGUAAAUUUUAAGAUGUUUGGUUAAGUCCGAAAUAAUAUGCAGAAAUUGAGUGUCUUGAAUGGAUGUAGUAUUUAAUGGUGGACAUAGUUGAGGGAUUAAUGUGGUAAUUAUCGAACAAAUAAUUGCAUAUGGUACAAAGACUUAUAUGGAAAUUAGAGCGGGGGGAGUAGAAAAUGACUACUUUGCUUUGGGCAUCAAUUUAGAAAGAUUUAAAGUACAAAUGUAUUAUUAGUUUAAAGGAUUUGUUUUAAAGAAGGAAUGACAAUUAAACCUCAUGGUUGAUUUGUGGAAGGGAACCGAUGAUGGGAUGAUUAUUCUUAGUGGUAAAAAAAAAACUAUUAAGGAGGUUAUUAUACUUGUUAUCAAUUUCUCAAAAUUUGAAUGGGUUUAAGUCAGAUUAUAUCGAGCUUGUUAGAUGAGUUCACGGACCAAGCUUGCAUGAUAAUGGCUGCUUACAGAAAUGUAUCUAUAGUUUUCUACAAAGUCAUAUGUGAAAUUAUGCAUUGGUACCGCAUAAACAUGUUUUAUGUCUAGAAUAUUAUACGUGUCUAUGUGCAUGGAAUCUACCUAGUAUAUCAUAUCAAUGAACAGUAUCAAUGGUGGACCUCAAAAGUAUUUUUGGGGGAUCAGAAUUAAACUGUAUGUUUUUAUGAAAGUAAAAAUUUAAUUUCACUAUUUUAUAGUCAAUUUCUUUUUAAUUUUUGAAGGAUUAAAUCAAAUUUUUAUAAAUUUUUAGGAGGUUGAAGUACAAUUUUAUCAUUACUAAUUUAAAAUUUUAUAAAUUAUAAAAAAUAUAAAUAAAAAAUUUUAUAUUUUAGGAUAGCCAAGGCUCCUGCCAACUCUAACUCACUGAAUAGUAUAAAUAAAUAAAUACCAUCAUCUAAAAUAUGGGUAAGUGUCCAAAAUAUGAUUUUGGUGAAAAUAUGUAGGGUUGGUCUCAUGGAAGUGUAAAGACAAGAACCCCGCUAAUGUAUGGGAUGUGUAAAGUUGAAUCUAGGGAGCAAAUAGGAGUGAAUCAUUUUGGUAACAUUUGGACAAGAAACAUAAUGAACAAAAUGAAAGGAGAGGAAGCUAGUAAAAGAUUUUUUUGGGUCAUAUAAUUUGUUUGGCAUAUAUUUUUAUAAUUUUUAAAUAUCAUUUUGGAGUUGAAUUAUAACUUUUUUUUAUAUAUUAUCUUAAAAUUUUAUAAAAUUUAAGGAGUUAAAACGUAAUUAUUCCAUGGGUCAGAGCUGCCCUCGCUUUGCAUUUCUUUGAGAUUCAGCCUUAUCUCAAUUGAGGGUUGAGUAGAAAGAUUUGGUGGAGCAAGCAAAGCUAUCAAUCAAGGUUGGAGAAAGCUUAGGAGGUCACAAUGCAUAAUUAUUUAAAUGUAAUUCUAAUAUUUAAAUAAAAUUUAUUAAUAUAAUAUCAGCAAGUGUUAAAUAUAAUGAUCAGAUACCAUUAUAUUUUUAGAAAGAGAAAAUAUGUUUAAACCUUAAAAACGGCGUUACUAAAAAUAAUAAUCACAAAUCUUGAAAUAUAAAAAAUAAAUUUUUUAAUAUAAUUAAAAUUUAAUUUGAAAGCCGAGCUGGAUAAAAUUCUAAUUUUAGAUAAUGGUACCAACAACAAAUCAAUAUUUAAAUUAAAAUUAAUCUAAAUUUAAUAUAAUCAAAUUGGACUCUAAUAUUAAAUUUAAUAUAAUCAAGGUUCAUGAACUUUAUACCCUAUGCUUUACGUAAUUGAAAAAAAAAUCAUUGGACAUAAAAGUCUACGAAAAGUUUCACUAUAUUAAUAAAUAAAUAAAUAAAAAAUAUUGCUACAAGAUUACAACACAAAGUUACAAUAAGAGCUUAUAACUUAACAAAGGCUAUCAAUAAAUAAUCUCAAACAAACUAAAGAGAAAUAUUGAGAGUCCCACCAAAUAGUGAUUGCCUUUAAAAGUUAAAAACUCGAAGUUAUAGUAUCUCAAAUGAAAUUAAACCAUGAACAUUAAAUUUUUCGAGUCUACUAGCUACUGUAAAAAAUUGAGCUCCAACGGACAACAAAUGAACCUUUGAUCGAAGAAAAUACGAAAAUUAGUCUCGGUAAAUCAAGCUGCCAAACUUACUUUUUAUCUUAUCUUUAAUUUGUAAUAAAAUUCAAAAUUAAGGUUUUGUUUGUUUCACUUAGAACAACUUUCAAAAAAUUAAUUUUGGAAAAUGGAUUGAUUUUUCGAAAUAGAUGAUAUUUUAUUGUGUAAAAAUUUUAUUUGUUGUUUGAUGAACUUUUUUUUAAAUCAUUUUUUUAGAAUUAUUUUUAGUGAAACAAAUAUAUCAUAAAUAUAUUUGUUACAAAAUAUUAUAUUAGUAUUUUCUUUUGACAAUUAAAGUUUAUUUUAUGAUAAGACAAUAUUUUAUAAUAAUUAAUAUCAUAUAUACUUAAUAAUAAAUCAUGUCUAAUUAAAAUUUAAGUUAAAUUAAAUAUAUUAAUAAAGCUACAUAUAAUCAUAUUUUAUAUAAUUAAAAUAUUAAUAUAAAUAUUUUUCAAUAAGAUAUUAAAGAAUAUUUAAAAUUUAAAUUUAUUAUUACUAAAAUUAAUUAUUAAAAUAAAAAUGUAAUAUUAAAUAAUUUAUCUAAUGAUAAGUUAUAUUAAUAAUUUAUUAUAUCAUUAAAUAAAAAUAAUUAAAUAUGUAUGUUUAAUAAUAUUAUGUUAUAAUAUUCAUUAUUAAUAUCUUAAUAUUCUUAAACAGCCGUGUCUCAAAGAUGGUUGUGAUGGUGAUGUGAUGAUGCAGCCCCCCUUCUUACAAUUACAAUAAUUUUUAGUGCAAUAAUUAAAGUUGCUGAGUGGUAAAGUAAACUUCUUUUGACUGAGAUGCAUGUAAUAUAUGGAUGUUGAGGUUUUAGACUGCGCCAUCUUUAAAGGGGUUAAAUUAUAUAUUUAUAUAAUAUGAUUAUUGUUUAUGAAUAUAAUAUUAUAGAUAAGUUUUUAUACAUAUUAAUAUGUAUUUUAUUUUAAUGUUAAUAUGUAGUUUUUUAGAUGUGGAUUCACCUAUAUAAUGAUAUGAACUCAUUAUGCAGUCUCAUGAAAUAUGCAAACACAUAUAGUGUAAAUAUAAAGUAUGAACCACCAAAAGUACAGAUCAACACCUAAUUGAAUAAUUGGAUAACAGAUAGGUAAUAAUAAAUAUCAUUCACUAUCCCCUCUUGUUUUAAUUUAUUUUAUUUCCAGUGAGUUAUUUUUUUUAUGAUAAAUUUGCAACAAAUGUUUUUAUCAUUAUUUUGUUGGUAAAUGAUAAUAAGAUUAAAUUUACUUUCGUAAGCUCCUUCAAUUCUUUGGAGUUAGUGGUUUUUUAUUCUGAUCUUUUUUUCUUAUUAAAUUUUUUAUAAUAAAUGUGUUUAUAGAUGAGGUUAGAUUAUAAUUGAAUUAUUUUAUAGCAUUAACAUAAUUUAGAUGGAUUAAAAUUUAUUCUACUAAAAAUAUAAAUUUAAAAUUUUACUUCAAUUUAUCUUAAUUUAUAAAUGAUGAAUUUAAAUUUACUUUUUCCCCAUUAUAUUCAAUUUUCCACAUAAUAUUUGGCCUAGAACAAAAACUAGAACAAUAAAACAAAUAUAAACUAUGCUACAAAGAGUAUACAGCUACAGAAAGCUGAAAUGUUUUCCAAAAAUUAUAUUGUUAACUUUUAAAAAAAAUAUUUUAGCUAUUUAUCAUCAUGAAGAAAAAAGAUACAGUCAUGCACCUGGCCUCAUGCUUCAACACCUCAACCUAGAUUCUCAUCACCUGUAUUUAUCAUCGAUUCAGAUCUUUAUUUUUACUAUAUUCUAGAUCUCCCUAUAAAUAUAUCUUCAAACUUCCUUUGGUUAAGUUCAUUCAUAGAUGGGUGAGUAAACUUGAGCUUCAGCUUUCCACAAACACCUUAAUUUGAAGACACUGUUCUCUCAUGCUAAAAACCACAUGGACGUUUACCAUGUAAUUAGAGAGUUGGUUUCAUUGCUUGUUGUUGGGUUAUUAAUGAUAUGGGGAUGGAGAGCUUUAAACUGGGUAUGGCUGGCUCCAAAGAGGCUCGAAAGGUGCUUGAGACAACAGGGUUUAGCAGGGAAUUCUUACAGGUUCCUUUCUGGUGACAUAAAAGAGCUCUUCACUAUGAGCAGACAAACAAGAGCCAAACCUAUGCCUCUUAGUGAUGAUAUUGGGCCUUAUGUUGUUCCUUUUCAACAUCAAACUGUCAACCAGUAUGGUAUGUUUUUUUGUUUAAUCUGCAAUUUAUGAUAAUUCUUUUUUAUUUAUGUAUGGAAUUUAUUGGGAGGAAAUGCAGGAAAGAAUUCAUUUACGUGGUUUGGUCCAAGACCAAGGGUGAACAUUACGGACCCUGAAAAAAUAAAAGAAAUACUUAACAAAUUUAAUGACUUCCAGAAGGUACGUACCAAUCCACUUGUUCAUUUGCUUGUAAGCGGCCUUGUUAACCUCGAAGGAGACCGAUGGAGCAAGCAUAGAAAAAUCAUAAACCCUGCAUUUCAUCAAGAUAAGUUGAAGGUAUAGAAUAGUGAUGGGUACUCAGACUUUAAAGAAAACAUCAUACUUAAACCUAUGCUUUUCUGACUUAGAAAAUAAUUGGAUGCAGAAUAUGUUGCCAGCAUUUUAUCAAAGUUGUAGUGACAUGUCAAGCAAAUGGGAGAAGAUGGUGUGUACAGAAGGAUACUGUGAGUUAGAUGUGUGGCCUUAUCUCGUAGAUUUGACAAGAGAUGUGAUUUCCCGAUCUGCUUUUGGAAGCAGCUUCGAAGAAGGCAAACGAAUUUUCCAAUUACCAGAGGACCAACUCGUUCUCACAAUCAAAUUAAUACAAACUGUUUACAUUCCAGGAUGGAGGUAACCCUCAACUUAAUUUACUUGAAAAAGGUUGCAAAUGUUGGAAUUCGCUAAAAGCGUGUUUGUUUUCUUGAAGGUUUUUGCCAACAAAGACAAACGGGGAGAUGAAGAUGAAAUACAAAGACAUAAAAGAGUCGCUUAGGGAAAUGAUAAAGAGAAGAGAGAAGGCAAUUAAAGCAAGGGAAGAGAGCAAUGAGGACUUGUUGGACAUACUUGUGGAAUCCAAUAUCAGAGAAAUGGAAGCAAAGAAUAUGGGGAUGAGCAUUGAGGAUGUGAUUGAGGAAUGCAAGCUGUUUUACUUUGCUGGCCAAGGGACCACUUCGGUCUUGCUGGUGUGGACUAUGGUUUUAUUAGCAAGGCAUCCCGAUUGGCAAAGUAAAGCAAGAGACGAGGUUUUGCAUGUUUUGGGUGACAGUAAACCUGAUGCUGAUGGCCUUAAUCGUCUCAAAGUUGUAAGUCCCUAGCAUGUCUUUUGAAGGUCCGAUCAAUGAGGUCGACAACUCAAAAACUUGGUUUCUUUGUUUCGCUAAUUCUACAGGUAACAAUGAUAUUGUACGAGGUUCUAAGGUUGUACCCACCAGUGGUUGAGCUAGGACGUUCCGUUCCAAAAGAAAUAAAACUGGGAAAUUUGUUGUUACCAGCAGGAACAGACGUUUUGGUUCCAAUCCUGCAGAUCCACCAUGACAAAGAUCUUUGGGGCGACGACGCACGGGAAUUUAAGCCAGAGCGGUUCACGGAAGGAGUUUCCAAAGCAACAAAGAGUCAAGUCACGUUUCUGCCAUUCGGAUGGGGUCCUAGGAUCUGCAUUGGCCAAAACUUUGCCAUGAUGGAAGCCAAAAUGGCGAUGGCUAUGAUUCUCCAACGCUUCUGGUUCGAGCUUUCCCCUUCCUAUGCUCACUCUCCUUACAGCAUGGCAACUCUUCGUCCACAGCAUGGUGCACAGAUAAUUUUACAUAAACUUGGCUCUAAUUGAAUUGUUAUGUAAAUAAAUCUUUGUGAAAAUAUAUAGCUUGUUAGUGUAUCGUCAAAGUCCGGUGUCUGUAAUGGUACAAUUCCGAUGCAUGAAUAGUAAAUUUUGAGAUGUUUAGUGAAGUCCGAAAUAAUAUGCAGAAAUUGAGUGUCUUGAAUGGAUGUAGUAUUUAAUGGUGGACAUAGCUGGGGGACUAAUGUGGUAAUUAUCGAACAAAUAAUUGCAUAUGGUACAAAGACUUGUAUGGAAAUUAGAGCAGGGGGAGUAGAAAAUGACUACUUUGCUUUGGGCAUCAAUUUAGAAAGAUUUAAAGUACAAAUGUAUUAUUAGUUUAAGGGAUUUGUUUUAAAGAAGGAAUGACAAUUAAACCUUAUGAUUGAUUUGUGGAAAGGAAUCGAUGAUGGGAUGAUUACUUUUAGUGGUAAAAAAAACUAUUAAGGAGGUUAUUAUAUUUGUUAUCACCGGCCCAAAAUUUAAAUGUAGUCACGUCAAAUUAUAUCGAGCUCGCAAUAUGAGUUCACGGACCAAGUUUGCAUGAUAAUAGGUGUUCACAUAAAGGUAUUUAUAGUUUACUGCAAAGUCACAUGUGAGAUCGUGCAUUGGAACCGAAUAGACAUGUUUUAUGUUUAGAAUAUGAUACGUGUCUAUGUGCAUAGAAUCUACCUAGUAUAUCAUAUCAAUGAAUAGUAUCAAUUGCGGAGCCAAAAUUUUUUUGAGGGGUAAGAAUUAAAUUGUAUAUUUUUACUAAAAUAAAAAUUCAAUUUUACUAUUUUAAUAGUUUAUUUCUUUUUAAUUUUUAAAUGAUUAAAUCAAAUUUUUAUAAAUUUUUAGAGAUCAAAAUAUAAUUUUAUCAUUACUAAUUUAAAAUUUUAUAAAUUAUAAAGUAUUUAAAUAAAAAAAUUUCCUAUUUUAGGGUGACCAAGGUCCUGCCAACUUCCUACUCGAUCACUGAACAGUAUAAAUAAAUACCAUCAUCUAAAAUACUCAAGAAAAACACUCAAGGAUAAAUAGAGAGAUGUUGGGUAAGUGUCCAAAAUAUGAUUUAAGUGAAGAUACGUGUGGUAGGUGUCAUGGAAAUGUAAAGACAAGAAUCCCACUAAUGUAUGGGAUGUGUACACUUGAAUGUAGGGAGCAAAGAGGAGCGAAUCAUUGUGGUAACAUUUGGACAAGAAAUAAUGAACAAAAUGAAAGGAGAGGAAGCUAGUAAAAGAUUUUUUUGGGUCAUAUAAUUUGUUUGGUAUAUAUUUUUUUAAUUUUUAAAUAUCAUUUUGGAGUUGAAUUAUAGUUUCUUUUUAUGUUUUAAAACAUAAUUAUUUUAUUUUUAGAGUGUCAAAGUAGAGGUGAGCAUGGAUCAGACUACUCGGCUCGGCCGGAAGAUCUGUCUGAAAUGUGAGAGGUUUGAGCAAAAAUAUAGGCAAAAAAAAUGGGCUUGGACAAAAAAUAUAAGGCUCGUUUAGAAAAUGGGUCGGGCCUUGAGUAAGACAUUUUUGGCCUCGAGCCUGGCCCGGCUUGAAUUCACUAAAGGACAAAAAAAAUUAAUUUUUUAAAUAUUAUUUUCUUGUUAUUUUCUUCCUAUUUUGCUACCAUUGUACUAUUAUGUUACUACUAUUUUGUUGUUAUUGUUUGGAUAUUGUAUAAACCUUAUUUUAUUGUUAAUUUUGUUAUUAUUUUAAAGACAUUUGUUAAUUUUGUUAUUAUUUUAGAGACAUUUGCUUGUUAAGUUGCAUCUAUCUUAGUGUUAUUUAAGUAUACAUAUUUUUUAAAAUUUAUUUUCAAUUUGUUGGAAAAUAUUUAUUUUAUAUUUUUAGUAUUUUAGAUGUAUUAUAUAUAUUUUAAAAUUAUAUAAAAAUUAAUAUGGACAGGAGGGUCGAGCCCGAGUUUUAGCAUUUUUAUUCGGGUUAGGCUUGGACAAAAUUUUAAGCCCAUUUUUUGGGCCGAGCCUAACAAACAGUCUUGAAUUUUUAGUUGAGCUUGGCCCGGCCCAUGCUCACCUCUAGUUCAAAGCUGCCCUCGCUUUGCAUUUCUUUGAGAUUCAGUUUUAUCUACUGUUGAUUGGCCACUCAAUUGAGGGUUGAAUAGAAAGAUUUGGUGAAGCAAGCUAAGCUAUCAAUCAAGGUUGGAGAAAGCUUAGGAGAUCACAAUGCAUAAUUAUUUAAAUGUAAUUCUAAUAUUUAAAUAAAAUUUAUUAAUUUAGUAUUAACAAGCCUUAAAUGUAAUGAUCAUAUACUAUUACAUUUUCAAGAAGAAAAAAUAUGUUUGAACCUUAAAAACAACAUUAUUAAAAAUAAUAAUCACAAAUCUUAAAAUAUAAAAAAUAUAAUUAAAAAUUAAUUUUAAACUCGAGCUGUAACAGCCCAAAUUUCAGUGGUGUCGGAAUAGUGAUGUGAGAUCACUAAAUACGACAUGUGAGUUUAGAUAUUAGUAAGUAAAAGUUAAGUGUGAUUUUAGAAAUAUUUUUGAAUUAGUGAAAUUGUGAAUUAAAGAAAAUUUCUAGAUAAAAACGAGGUAUCGAGACCUCUAAUUCAUAAACCAAGCCAUAAAUAUUUUUAGAAAUAUUUAUGGAGUGUUACUAAGUUAGUAUUAAAGUUUUGUUAAGAGAUUUUAACAUUUCAGUAAUUAAUUGAAGAAAAAUGACUAAAUUGAAUAAAGUGUAAAACUAUCAAAUAUGAUUAAAUAGCUUAAGAGAUCAUUAAGGAAUGAGUUAAAAGGUAAAUAGACCCAAAUUAGGUGGGUUGGACGGCAUGAGUGUGCAGGAAAUGUAAAAAAAUCAAGUGUGAACAAAGGGCAAAAGUGAAAAUAGGGUAAAAUUUAAUUGUAAAAUAUGAUGUAGUUGGUAAUUUUAGAGAAUUCAUCAUUUUUCUUCAUCUUCAUCAGCUAAAAACACCAUUAGAGAGCUUUUAAGAAGCUGGUUUUAUAUUUUACAGCAUGUAAGUUCAAUUCUUGAUUAUUUAGUUCAAUUCUUGAUUAUUUCUUGUAAUUUUUGUGUUUUUUGAGACUUUUACAAUUGGGUCCUACUAUUUAACUUAUUAGUUUUUGCUUUUAUGAAUGGUUUAGAAAGUUUCCAUAAAUAAGAGCUGAAAUUUUAUGAUGAUUUAUUAUGGAAUUGGGACUGUAAGUUUAUUAUAUGAUGAUUUUAUGAAGAGAUUUUAUAAGAAUUGAUUUUUAGGACCUAAUUGUGAAAGUCGUUGUAAUUAGGGUUUUGUGUUAAAACUUUGAAUUUCAAAGGCUUGGAAGUAGUUAUAAUGUUUAGAUAAAAUGAUAUUUUAGAAUAAUUAGUUCAAUUGAUGAACAAAUUGAGCAAUGACUAAAUUGUAAAAAUUGAAAAGUUUGAGAAAAAAUGUAAUUUCAAAAAUUAAAGGGUAUAAAUUGUGAAGUAGAAUAGAAUUGAAAUAGAUGCUCAUGAGGGAAUGAUUUUAUAAUUACAGAUCAAGAAAACGAAGUGAAUCGUGGAAAGGAGAAAUUGCAAGAAUAUUCCCUGAAAUUUCUACGACUUUUGCAAAUCAGCCCAGUUAAGUUCAUAUGGAAAAAAUUAAUGUUUUGUUAUGAAAAUCUUAUGAUUUGAUAAGGUAUAUUAUUAUAGAUGAAUACUAUCAAAUUGUAAUAAUUAUGAAAUAAUAUUUAAGUAAAAGUACAAAUUAGUUGGAACAAUGGAUUUGAGUGCUUUCGUUCUGUGACCAUGAUGAAUUGAUGGAAAAGGUGUGAUAUGUGCGCCCGUAUAAGACCAUAGCUGGGCUAUGGCAUCGGUGCAAUGUGAUAUGUGCUCCUGUAUAAGACUAUAGUUGGGCUAUGGCAUCGGUGUGAUGUGAUAAUGUGCUUCUGUAAAAGACCAUAUUUGGGAUAUGGCAUCGGUAUGAUAUGUGACCCGUGUAAGACCAUAACUGGGCUAUGGCUUCGGUGUGUGAUAUGUGACUAUGUGCAAGUCUAUGGUUUUACCAUGGCAAUGUGAUAAUGAAGCACUCAAUUCCAUUAUUGUUUCCUAAUUUGACUAUGAAAGUAAAUGAGAAAUAGGCCCAAGAGAUCUAAAAUUGGUGAAUAGUGACAUUGAAAUCAAUCAAAUGAGUUUAUUAAUGAUUUGUGAUUUACAGGAAGGUUUAGUGAAAUUAAAUAUUAUAUGAUUGUGUGCAAUAUUCGGUAAGAUUUAUUUUUCUGUGCUUAUGAGCGUACUAAGCUUCAAUAAGCUUACUUGUGUAUGUUAUUUGUUUUGUAGAUUGACUUAUAUACAUACGGAGGAUUGGAUCUACAUCGAGGAUCACGCUAUCCAGAUUUAUUCUGGUAGAUUUUGUUAAACAACUUUUUGAUUUAUAUGGCAUGUAUAGGGUUGAUUUGAUAAUGUAAUAGUAUGAAUGAUUAAGUAUGUAAAGUAAAUUGAAUGCGAUGGUUGUGUUUGAUAAUGAAAUAUACAUGUUUUGGCUUGAAAUAGUUGAUUUGUUGGACUUUAUUAGUGUAUAAAUGUGAUUUUGUGCAGGAAAAUAUUAAAAGGGUGAGAAAAGAGGCAUUAAAUGACCUAUUUUCGUCCACACGAGUAGGCGCAGGACAUGUGUGACACACAACCUACUAUAUGGGCAUGUGAUAAGAUCGUGUGUCCCUUGCAACUUAAAAAUGAGAAUCAGAAUGUCCAGGUUUAGGCACAUGGCCUAACAUAAGGGCGUGUGGCUUGACCGUGUGACACACCCACGGGCUUUAACAUGGCCGUGUGAUACGGCUGUGUGAAGUCUGCACUUAAAAUGUGAAAUUUAAUUAUCACACGGCCUAGCAACACAGACGUGUGCUCAGGCUGUGUGACUCAAGUUUCUUCUUGAAUGCAAGUCAGAGAGCUCCACGGGCUUGGGACAUAGGCGUGCGUGACCACACAGCCUACCCACACGGGCGUGUCCCUAUCCACACGGGCGUGUGGCCCUGUUUCAUGAUAAUUUUUUUUAAAAUUUUCUAAAAGCUCUGAAAGUUCUUAGUUUGGUCCCGAUCUAUCUCCAACAUAUAUUUUGGGCCUCGUAGGCCCGUAUAAGGGACUUUAAGCAUGUGUUUGAAUAAUAGUUAAUUUGGAAUGAAGUUUUAUGAUCUGGUUUUGGGUGUUUAAUUGUGUUUAAGCCUGGUAAUACCUCGUACCCUGUUCCGGCGUAGAAUACGAGUAAGGGGUGUUACACAAGCUGGAUAAAAUUCUAAUUUUUGAUAAUGAUAGUAAUAACAAAUCAAUAUUUAAAUUAAAAUUAAAAUUAAUUUAGUAUAAUAUAAUUUUUGAGUUUUCGGCAAAGGCACUCAAUGAAUGCUUGGAAAGAAAUAAUGCAACUUAGUGAAAUAAUGCAACUUAGUGAUAGCUUUUGUUGGAGUUAUAUGCUGUUAUUAUAGUUUUAUGUUUUUAUCUUGCAAAAACAACAUAUUGGAGUUUUCGGUGGACUUUUAAGUUUCAUGAUUUUUUCCUAAUACUUUACGUGAAAAAAAUAAUGGUACUUAAAAAUCUAACAAAAGCUUCUCUAUAAUUUUUAUAAAAAAAACAUUGCUACAAUAUUACAACACAAAGUUACAAUAAUAGCUUAUAACUCAACAAAGGCUAUCAAUAAAUAAUCUCAAGCAAGUUAAAGAGAAAUGUUGAGAAUACCACCCAAAUAGUGACCGACUUUAAAAGUUGAAAACCCAAAGCUAUAGUAUCUCAAACGAAAUCAAACCAUAAAUAUUAAAAUUUUUCGAGUCUAUUAGCUACUGUAAAAAAAUUUAGCUCCAACAGACACCAAAUGAGCCUUUGAUUGAAGAAAAUACGAAAACUAGUCUAGGUAAACCAAGCUGCCAAACUUACUUAUCUUAUCUUUAAUCUGCCGUGAAAUUCAAAACUAAGUUUUUGUUUAUUUCACUUAGAACGACUUUCAAAAAAUUAUUUUUGAAAAAUGGAUUGAUUUUUUUGAAAUAGAUGAUAUUUUAUUGUGUUGAAACUUUAUUCGUUGUCUGAAAACUUUUUUUAAAUUAUUUUCUUAGAGUUAUUUUUAGUGAAAUAAACAUAACAUAAAUAUAUUUGUUAUAAAAAAUUAUAUUAGUAUUUUCUUUUGACAAUUAAAAUUUAUUUUAUGAUAAGACAAUAUUUUACAAUAAUUAAUAUCAUAUAUAUACGUAAUAAUAAAUCAUGUUUAAUUAAAAUUUAAUUUAAAUUAAAUAUAUUAAUAAAGCUACAUAUAAUCAUAUUUUAUAUAAUUAAAAUAUUAAUAUAAAUAUUUUUCAAUAAUAUAUUAAAAAUAUUAAAAUUUAAUAUUAUUAUUACUAAAAUUAAUUAUUAAAAUAAAAAAUGUAAUAUUAAAUAAUUUAUUGUAUUAUUAAAUAUAAAUAAUUAAAUAUGUAUUUUAUAAUAUUUUAAUAUUCUUAAACAGCCAUGUUUUAUAGAUGCUGGUGAUCGUGAUGGUGCAGGCCCUUCUUGUUAUAAUUACUAUAAUUUCUAGUGCAAUAAUUGAAGUUGUUGGGUGGUCAAGCAAACCUCUUUUUGACUGAAAUGCAUGUAAUAUACUGGGCGAAUCUAGAGGGGUUCGCGUGGUACCGGUCUCUCUAAAGUUUAAAAUUGUUAUUUAAAUUUUUAAUUUUUUUAAAAAAUUUUAAAUUUAAUAAAAGUAAAAUUAUAUUUUUAGCUCUUAAAAUUAUAAAAAUUAUAUUUAAUCCUUUAAAAGUUAUAAAUAUAUAGACUAAAAAAUUAAAAUUUCAUUCGGCUUAUUAAAAGAUUAUUCUGGCUUUGCUCUUGAUACCGAUGUUGAAUAUUUUAGAGUAUGUUUCUUUAACAUGGUUCAAUUAUAUAUUUAUAUAAUAUAAUUAUUGUUCAUGAAUGUGACAUCGUAACUAAGUUCAUAUGCAUGUCAACAUAUAUAUUAUUUUAGGGUUAAUACGUUUUUUUUAAAUGUGAGUUCACCUAUAUAAUGGUAUGAACCCGUCACGCGGUCUCAUGAAAUAUGCGAAUAUAUGUCGUGCGAACACAAAGUACGAACUACACAGAAUAAGGACUAAGACCCAAUUGGGUAAUCGGAUACGGAUCAGUAAUAAUGAAUUUCAUAACAGCCACCAUCCCCUCAUUUGUUCUAAUUUAUUUUAUUUCCAGUGAGUUAUUGUUUAUGAUAAUUCACAACAAAUGUUUUUGUCAUUAUUUUUUGGUAAAUAAUAAUAAGAUUAAACUCUACUUUCUUAAGCUCCUUCAAUUCUUUGGACGUUGGUGGUUUUUUAUUCUAAUCUUAUUUUCUUAUUAAUUUCUUUUUUAUAAUAAAUGUGUUUAUAGAUUAAAUUGGAUUAUAAUUGAGUCAUUGUAUGGAAUUAACAUAAUUCAUAUCGAUUAAAAUUUAUUCGACUGGAAAUACAAAUUUAAAAUUUUACUUCAAUUUAUCUUAAUUUAUAAAUGAUGAAUUUAAAUUUAUUUUUUUCUCUCAUUAUAUUCAGUUUUCCGGAUAAGAUUUGGCCCAGAACAAAAACUAUAACAAUAAAACAAAUAUAUAUGUUUUCCAAAAAUUAAAUUGUUAACUUUUAAAAAAAUAUUUUUAGCUAUUUCUCAUCAUUGAGAAUAAAAAUAAGGUCACCUCGCCUCAUGCUUCAACAACUCAACCUAGAUUCUCAUCACCUGUAUUUAUCAUCGAUUCAGAUUUUUAUUUUUACUAUAUUCAAGAACUACCUAUAAAUCUAUCUUCAAACUUCCUCUGGUUAAGUUCAUUCAUAGAUAGGUGAGUAAACUUGAGCUUCAGCUUCAACAAACACCAUAGUUUGAAGACACAAUUCUCUCAUACUAAAAAUAUGGAAGUUUACCAUGUAAUUAGAGAUUUGGUCUCAUUGCUUGUUGUUGGGUUAUUAAUGAUAUGGGGAUGGAGAACUUUAAACUGGGUAUGGUUGGCCCCAAAGAGGCUCGAAAGGUGCUUGAGACAACAGGGUUUUGCAGGGAAUACUUACAGGUUCCUUUCCGGUGACAUAAAACAGCUCUCAACUAUGGGCAGACAAACAAAAGCCAAACCUAUGCCUCUUAGUGAUGAUAUUGGGCCUUAUUGUUGGAGUUUCAACACACUUUAACCGGGUAAAGUAAGAAUUUUAAACAGAGCACUAGCAGCAACGUAUUAUACCCGGAUAAAAUAUGAAGGAAAAAUGCUUGGAGUUCAAGCUUUUAGCUACUGUCAAGAAUGAAGAACAGAACUUAGAAGUUUUUAGAAGGCAAAAAAAGAUGGAGCAUAUGGAAGAAAAUCUGAUGAUUUCAUUCAUUGAAACAUUGGCUUAAAGCCAUUACAUAUACCAGUCAUUUGGCUGGUCAAAAGAUUAACAAAUCCUUUACCUAAACACUACCUAACUCCACUAAUUACAUAGGGACUAGGUGAUUUUACUUGCAAACAUAAACAAAGAUGGUGAUCAGCUCUAUCACCAUCAAAUUACAUCAAACAUAAACUAAACUAAGUUCAAAAUGAACUAGAUUACAAAAGCAUAGUUAAACGGUAACAAAAUGUAACUGAGACGGAAAAGAAGUAUCAACCCCUUCAGUUGCAUGUAUUUUACUCGGGUAACUUGUGUGUAUGAAUUCUUGCACAUACUUUACCCGGAUAACAUAAGUGCAUUAAUUUUCACGUGCUUGAAUCUGCAUGGGCUGCAUGGGAACUAACUUCAACACUUAUGUUGCUCCUUUUCUUCAUCAAAUUGUCAACCAGUAUGGUUUGUUUUUUAUUUAUUUAUUUAAUCUUCAAUUUAUGAUAAUUCUUUGUUAUUUAUGUAUGGAAUUUAUUGGGAGGAAAUGCAGGAAAGAAUUCAUUUACGUGGUUUGGUCCAAGACCAAGGGUGAACAUUACUGACCCUGAAAAAAUAAGAGAAAUACUUAAACAAAUUUAAUGACUUCCAGAAGGUACAUACCAAUCCACUGCUUAAUUUGCUUGUAAGCGGCCUUGUUAACCUCGAAGGAGACCGAUGGAGCAAGCGUAGAAAAAUCAUAAACCCUGCAUUUCAUCAAGAUAAGUUGAAGGUAUAGAAUAGUGAUGGGUACUCAAGACUUUACAGAAAACAUCAUACUUAAACCUAUGCUUUUCUGAUUUAGAAAUAAUUGGGUGCAGAAUAUGUUGCCAGCAUUUUAUCAAAGUUGUAGUGACAUGUUAAGCAAAUGGGAGAAGAUGGUGUGUACAGAAGGAUACAGUGAGUUAGAUGUGUGGCCUUAUCUCGUAGAUUUGACAAGGGAUGUGAUUUCCCGAUCUGCUUUUGGAAGCAGCUUCGAAGAAGGCAAGCGAAUUUUCCAAUUACUAGGCGACCAACUCGUUCUCAGAAUCAAAUUAAUACAGAUUGUUUACAUUCCAGGAUGGAGGUAACCCUCAACUUAAUUUACUUGAAAAAGGUUGCAAAUGUUGGAAUUCGCUAAAAUCGUGUUUGUUUUCUUGAAGGUUUUUGCCAACAAAGACAAACAGGUAGAUGAAGAUGAAACAGAGACACAUAAAAGAGUCGCUUAGGGAAAUGAUAAAGAGAAGAGAGAAGGCAAUUAAAGCAAGGGAAGAGAGCAAUGAGGACUUGUUGGACAUACUUGUGGAAUCCAAUAUCAGAGAAAUGGAAGCAAAGAAUAUGGGGAUGAGCAUUGAGGACGUGAUUGAGGAAUGCAAGCUGUUUUACUUUGCUGGCCAAGAGACCACUUCAGUCUUACUGGUGUGGACUAUGGUUUUAUUAGCAAGGUAUGCCGAUUGGCAAAGUAAAGCAAGAGAGGAGGUUUUGCAUGUUUUGGGUGACAGUAAACCUGAUGUUGAUGGCCUUAAUCGUCUCAAAGUUGUAAGUCCCUAGCAUGUCUUUUGAAGGUCCGAUCAAUGAGGUCGACAACUCAAAAACUUGGUUUCUUUUUUCGCUAAUUCUACAGGUAACAAUGAUAUUGUACGAGGUUCUAAGGCUGUACCCAUCAGCGACUGAGCUAGGACGUUCCGUUCCAGAAGAAAUAAAACUGGGAAAUUUGUUGUUGCCAGCAGGAACAGAAGUUUCGGUUCCUAUCCUGCUGAUCCACCAUGACAAAGAUCUUUGGGGCGACGACGCACGGGAAUUUAAGCCAGAGCGGUUCGCGGAAGGGGUUUCCAAAGCAACAAAGAGUCAAGUCACGUUUCUGCCAUUCGGAUGGGGUCCUAGGAUUUGCAUUGGCCAAAAUUUUGCUAUGAUGGAAGCCAAAAUGGCAGUGGCUAUGAUUCUCCAACACUUCUGGUUCGAGCUUUCCCCUUCCUAUGCUCACACUCCUUGCAGCAUGGUAACGCUUCGUCCACAGCAUGGUGCACAGAUAAUUUUACAUAAACUUGGCUGUAAUUGAAUAGUUAUGUAAACAAAUUUUUGUGAAAAUAUAGCGUUUUAGUGUAUCGUCAAAGUCCGGUGUCUGUAAUGGUACAAUUCCGAUGCAUGAAUAGUAAAUUUUGAGAUGUUUGGUGAAGUCCGAAAUAAUAUGCAGAAAUUGAGUGUCUUGAAUGGAUGUAGUAUUUAAUGGUGGACAUAGUUGAGGGACUAAUGUGGUAAUUAUCAAACAAAUAAUUGCAUAUGGUACAAAGACUUGUAUGGAAAUUAGAGCUGGGGGAGUAGAAAAUGACUACUUUGCUUUGGGCAUCAAUUUAGAAAGAUUUAAAGUACAAAUGUAUUAUUAGUUUAAGGGAUUUGUUUUAAAGAAGGAAUGACAAUUAAACCUUAUGGUUGAUUUGUGGGAGGGAACCGAUGAUGGGAUAAUUACUCUUAGUGGUAAAAAAAAAAAACUAUUAAGGAGGAUAUUAUACUUGUUAUCACCGGCCAAAAUUCAAAUGGGUUUGGGUUGAAUUAUAUUGAGCUCGCAAGAUGAGUUCAUGGACCAAGCUUGCAUGAUAAUGGGUGUUCACAGAAAGGUAUCUAUAGUUUCCUGUAAAGUCACAUGUGAGAUCGUAUAUUGGGACCGCAUAAACAUGUUUUAUGUUUAGAAUAUGAUAUGUAUCUAUGUGCAUGGAAUCUACCUAGUAUAUUAUAUCAAUGAAUAGUAUCAAUUGCGGAGCCAAAAUUUUUUUUGAGAGGUCAGAAUUAAAUUGCAUAUUUUUACGAAAAUAAAAAUUCAAUUUCACUAUUUUAAUAGUUUAUUUCUUUUUAAUUUUUAAAUGAUUAAAUUAAAUUUUUAUAAAUUUUUAGGAGGUUGAAGUACAAUUAUAUCAUUACUAAUUUAAAAUUUUAUAAAUUAUAAAGGACUUAAAUGAAAAUUUUCCUAUUUUAAAGUGACUAUAAAUAAAUAAAUACCACCAUCUAAAAGACUUAAGAAAAACACUCAACAAUUGUUGAUAAAUAGAGAGAUGUUGGGUAAAUGUCCAAAAUAUGAUUUAAGUGAAGAUACGUGGGGUAGGCGUCAUGGAAAUGUAAAGACAAGAAUCCCACUAAUGUAUGGGAUGUGUACACUUGAAUGUAGGGAGCAAAGAGGAGCGAAUCAUUGUGGUAACAUUUGGACAAGAAACAUAAUGAACAAAAUGAAAGGAGAGGAAGCUAGUAAAAGAUUUUUUUGGGUCAUAUAAUUUGUUUGGUAUAUAUUUUUUUAAUUUUUAAAUAUCAUUUUAGAGUUGAAUUAUAUUUUCUUUUUAUGUUUUAAAACAUAAUUAUUCUAUUUUUAGAGGGUCAAAGUAGAGGUGAGCAUUGGUCGGGCUAUCCGGCCCGGCCUAAAGAUCUACUAGAAAUGUGAGAGGUUUGAAUAAAAAUAUAGGCCCGAAAAAUGGGUUUGGACAAAAAAUAUAAGGUUCGUUUAGAAAACGGGCCGAGCCUUGAGUAAGGCAUUUUUGACCUCGGGCCUAGCCCUGCCUGAAUUCACUAAAAGACAAAAAAAAUUAAUUUUUUAAUAUUAUUUUCUUGUUAUUUUCUCCCUAUUUUGCUAUCAUUUUACUAUUAUUUUGCUACUAUUUUGUUGUUAUUAUUUGGAUAUUAUAUAAAACUUAUUUUAUUGUUAAUUUUGUUAUUAUUUUAGAGACAUUUACUUGUUAAGUUGCAUCUAUCUUAGUGUUAUUUAAGUAUACAUAUUUUUUAAAAUUUAUUUUCAAUUUGUUGAGAAAUAUUUAUUUUGAUAUUUUGAGUAUUUUGGAUGUAUUAUAUAUAUUUUAAAAUUAUAUAAAAAUUAAUAUGGGCAGGCUGGGUCGAGUCCGAGUUUUAGCAUCUUUAUUUGGGUUGGGUUUGGACAAAAUUUUAAGCCCAUUUUUCAGGCUGAGCCUAACAAAUGAUUCUAAAUUUUUAGUUGAGCUCUCAGCCCGGCCUAUGCUCAUAUCUAGUUCAGAGCUGCCCUCACUUUGUAUUUCUUUGAAAUUCAGUCUUAUCUACUGUUGAUUGCCUACUCAAUUGAGGGUUGAGUAGAAAAAUUUGGCGAAGCAAGCAAAGCUAUCAAUCAAGGUUGGAGAAAGCUUAGGAGGUCACAAUGCAUAAUUAUUUAAAUGUAAUUCUAAUAUUUAAAUCAAAUUUAUUAAUAUAGUAUUAACAAGCCUUAAAUGUAAUGAUCAUAUACUAUUACAUUUUCAGGAAGAGAAAAUAUGUUUAAACUUUAAAAAUAACGUAAUUAAAAAUGAUAAUCAUAAAUCUUAAAACAUAAAAAAUAUAAUUAAAAAUUAAUUUUAAACCCUGGAUAAAAUUCUAGUUUUAGAUAAUGAUACUAAUAACAAAUCAAUAUUUAAAUUAAAAUUAAUAUUAAUUUAAUAUAAUUUUUGAGUCUUCAGCAAAGGCACUCAAUGAAUGCUUGGAAAGAAAUAAUGCAACUUGGUGAUAACUUUGUUGGAGUUAUAUGGUCUUAUUAUAGUUUUAUGUUUUUAUGUUGCAGAAAAAACAUAUUGGAAUUUUUCGUGGACUUUCAAGUUUCAUGAUCUUUUCUUAAUACUUUAUGUGAAAAAAAAUAAUGGGAUUUAAAAAUCUAUCAAAAAGCUUCUGUUGUAGGCCAAUUUUGGCUCAAAUACAACCCAAUUAUUCAAACCCCUUAAAACCCAAUACAAAAUAGCCCAACUACUAACCCUAGCCCAGACCAAUAAUAAAAAAUAGCAAAGAAAAAAAGAACCCUGGCCACCCCGUGAUGUUUGCCACCCCACGCCUCUGCAGCACCAUUCCCAGGCAUCACACACUCUCACCAACUCCUCCAUACCCUGCAAAAUGAGACAAACACCAAGACAGAAGCUGACAACACAAGAGCAGUAGCAAGAGGCUUAAAAUAUCGUUUUGAAAUGGCUAUAAGAGGGAGAUCCGAUUGUAAAAAUUGGGGGGGAUUCAAUAUGCAAAAAUUGUAUCACGAAUUUUGGCAAAUCAAAAGCAAAAAAAAAGCACAUAAAAAAGGUUGAAUUUUAUUUCCUUUUUUUGUUUCUUUAUUUUUUAUUUUCCUUUUUUUCUUCAAAAAAUCAGUUUUAAAACAAAAAAAAUAAAAAAAAGAAGAAAGGGGAUUUACCUGAACUUCGGAGCCGCGACAUCGGAGCCCUACUCCGUCGUUGAAAUCGGCUCUCAAAAAGGAAAAUGGGGGUCUCUCCCUUCAGAUUUUCGGGCUAAGAAAAUAGGGCCUUCAGGCGCCCCCAAAAUCGGGGUCAAAAGCCCCCAUUCAAGCAACCCCGACCACCACUUACGGUGGCUCCAUGGCGGCGGCAAUGAUGGGUAUAAACCCUAGCAAAAGGGGAAAUGAGGGAGAGAGAGCCAAGAAACUCUCUGUUUUUUUUGCUUUUCAAAAUGGGGGCUGGAAACACAAAAUAAAAAAAAGGGUUUUAAGUUAUUUGAAAAAAAAGGGCUGCACUUUAACUCGUUUAACAGGCCUAAUAUGUGCCUUUUAAUUGAAAGUGAGGGAAUUAUACAUUAGGUCCUUCUCAUUUGCGCAAACAUUCAAUCAUGCCACAUUUAUUUCACUUCCUUUUUAAUUUGGCUUUAAAACUUACGCAUAUUAGCAAUUCGGUCCCAUUUCUUUUUAUUUUAUUAUUUUCACCCCGAAUUUCUGUCUAGAGUUCAAAUUAGCCCCUUUUCGUCCUUUUCUUUUCUUUUAUAUUUUAUUUUAUUAUUUGAUAUUAUGGUAUUAUAAUUGUAUUUUAUUUUCUUGCAUAUUAUUUGCUAUUAUUAUUAUCACCUUCAUUCCAUUAUUAUUAUUGCUAUUGCUAAGUUUUUUGUUGUUUAUAUUUUUAUUUAUAUUAUUAGUAUAUUGUUAUUCCUUAGUUUAUUAUUAUUAUAUCAUUUUUUAUGUAUUUAUCUACAUUAUUAUUAUUAUUAUUAUUUUUGAACACAUCAUGCAUUUUAAAUUAUUACCAAUUUUAAAUAUUUUAUAUAUAUCAUUAUGUAGUAUUUAUUUUUAGAUUCUUAUACGUAUCUUGGUAUUUUAGAUUAUUACAUGUAUACCUAUAUAUAUAUAUCUUUUAUUUUAAACAUUUUUCUAUGCAUUAUCUUACAUCAAAUUUCUUUUUUUUCACGUUAUUCUUUCUAAAUAUUUUAUAUGUCAUUUGAACUAAAUUCUAUUUUUAAAAUUUUUAUAUAUUACUUAGUUACAUUAUUUUAUAUGAAAAUUAUUUUGAACUCUUUUAUUAUUUAUUGUAAACCUUUAUUAUUGUUAAUUUUAAGACUAUAUAGGUAUUUAUUAAAAAAAAUUCAUAAAUAUUAUUUUGGAUUUAUAUAUAUUUUUAUUUUUGAACAAUAUUUAUUUUAAAAUUUUCUUUUACACAUUUUAAGCUCUUUGGUAAAUUAUUUUAAAGUGUUCUUGUUAUUUUUUUUUGUAUUAUUCAUCUUAUUUCAUUUAACAUAUUGUUUAUUUGAAGUUUGCUUUAUAUAGGUUACUUUAUUUUAUGCCCAAAAUAUUAUAUAUAUUAAUUAUUAUAAAUUGUUUUAUAUUCUUUACUUUAAAUUGCCUUUUCAUUUUAAAAUUGUUUUAUGUAUUAUUUAUUUAAAACUGUCUUAUUAUUUUGAAUUGUUUUAUGCCCCAUUUUUUAGAGCUCAAUUUAUUUAUUUUUAUUUAUCACCCAUUAUACGUUAUUUCCUUAUACUAUUACAUAUUUUAUACUUAUAUAUACAUAUAUAUGUGUAUGCAUCAUUUGAUCUAAAAUUUUUGUAAAUAAAUGUAUCAUCUUUCCUUAAAUCAUUUUAUAUAUUUUAAAUAUCCAUUUUUCACUUUAUUUACUUUUAAAACUUAGUUAUGAUCAUGUUAAAUAGUUUUUAUAUCUUAUUCGUUUUAAUUGGCUUUAUACUAUAUAUUUUUAUAUUAUCACAUAUGUUAUUUCAUUUAUUUGUUUAUUUAUUUUUUUUCUCCUUGAUUACUAAUAUUAACAUUUAAAUAAUGCAUGUUGAGUGAUUAUUGUUAUUGCGUGUACCUUAAUUCAUUCACUUGCGUAUUUAUAUUUGUCGUACAUUUGUGAUGUUAUUCUUGUAUUAUUAUUUCAUGGUCUAUACUCCCUUUCAUUUUGUUUCGUUUAAAUCAUAUCGUGCAUCUACCUCAAAUGUAUUUGUCCAAACAUGGACCGUUUUAAUCCAAACAAAUGAUACACGUCGCUUAAGUAUCACACUUGCUAUGGUUUUUAAAAACAAAAAUUUCAAAAUGAGGCAAUGUUUCGCGUUUUAGAACAUCGAGAAAUUGUGCCCUAACUUAUGGGGUUUCGGUUUUCUCGUUGGUUCUAAAUGUCAAAGUAUCCUUUUGAGUUUUAAAAUACACGAAAUUUUAAUUAAAAUUAAAGAUACACCUAUGCUCGAGAAUUCAUGGUAUGGUGUCCUAACUUACGGGAUGUGAUGCUCCGAUAUCUUGAGAUAAGGAAAUCUUUAAACAAAUUGUUUUGAGCUAAUUCAAAAAUUUUAAAAUUGAUAUUGAUAGAAAAGAUCAUAUUUCAAAUUCAUUCCCGAUUUUUGAUUUUCGACAUUAAGACACUAACUAAUCAAUUCGGUACUAAUUUUUGGGCGUGUCGGGGGCGCUAAUCCUUCCUCGCACAUAACCGACUCCCAAAUUUGUUCUCUUGGAAUUCGUAGACCAAAAUGCCGUUUUACUAAACUAAAAUUGUUAAAACAAAGGUGAUCCGAUCACACCAAAUAAAGAUCGGUGGCGACUUUCGUUUUAAUUUUUGUUUCCAAACAAAGUCGACCCCAUCCUUCAAAAAUCGGUUUCGACAGCUUCACUAUAAUAAUAAUAAUAAUAAUAAAUUGUUACAAUAUUACAACACAAAGUUACAAUAAGAGUUUAUAACUCAACAAAGGCUAUUAAUAAAUAAUCUCACACAAGCUAAAGAAAAAUGUUGAGAAUACCACUCAAAUAGUGACUGACUUUAAAAGUUGAAAACCCGAAGCUAUAGUAUCUCAAACGAAAUCAAACCAUAAACAUUAAAAUUUUUCGAGUCUACCAGCUACUGUAAAAAAUUCAGCUCCAACAGACACCAAAUGAGCCUUUGAUCGAAGAAAAUAUGAAAAUUAGUUUGGGUAUACCAAGCUGCCAAACUUACUUAUCUUAUCUUUAAUUUACAGUGAAAUUCAAAACUAAAGUUUUUGUUUAUUUCACUUAAAAUAACUUUCAAAAAAUUAUUUUUGAAAAAUGGAUUGGUUUUUCGAAAUAGAUGAUAUUUUAUUGUGUUAGAAUAUUAUUCGUUGUUUGAAAACUUUUUUUAAAUCAUUUUCUUAGAGUUAUUUUUAGUGAAACAAACAUAACAUAAAUAUAUUUGUUACAAAAAAUUAUAUUAGUAUUUUCUUUUGACAAUUAAAAUUUAUUUUAUGAUAAGACAAUAUUUUAUAAUAGUUAAUAUCAUAUAUAUAUACACGUAAUAAUAAAUUAUGUUUAAUUAAAAAUUAAUUUAAAUUAAAUAUAUUAAUAAAGCUACAUAUAAUCAUAUUUUAUAUAAUUAAAAUAUUAAUAUAAAUAUUUUUUAAUAAUAUAUUAAAAAUAUUAAAAAUUUAAAAUUAUUAUUACUAAAAUUAAUUAUUAAAAUAAAAAAUGUAAUAUUAAAUAAUUUAUUCAAUGAUAAGUACUUAUAUUAAUAAUUUAUCGUAUUAUUAAAUAUAAAUAAUUAAAUAUGUAUGUUUAAUCAUAUUACGUUAUAAUAUUUUAAUAUUCUUAAAACAGUUUUAAAGAUGCUGGUGAUGGUGAUGCUGCAGGCCCUUCUUGUUAAUUUUUAGUGCAAUAAUUGAAGUUGUAGGGUGUGGUCAAGCAAACCUCUUUUGACUGAAAUGCAUGUGAUAUACCGGUAAGUGGCGUAUCUAGAGGGGGACUGGCGUUGCCCUCGCCCCCUCCUCCCCACCCCCCCCCCCCCCCCAAAAAAAAUUGAAAUUGUUAUUUAAAUUUUUUCAAAAAUUUUAAAUUAAUAAAAGUAACAUUAUACUUUAUCCUCUAAAAUUAUAAAAAUUCUAUUUAAUCCUUUAAAAAUUAUAAAUAUAUAGACUAUAAAAAAUUAAAAUUUCAUUCGACCCCCCUAAAAUAUUGUUCUGGCUUCGCCCUUGAUACCGAUGUUGAAUAUUUUAGAGUAUAUGUCUUCUUUAACAAGGUUAAAUUAUAUAUUUGUAUAAUAUAGUUAUUGUUCAUGGACGUGACAUCGUAACUAGGUUCUUAUGCAUGUUAACAUAUAUCCUAUUUUAGGGUUAACAUGUAUUUUUUAAAUGUGAAUUCAUCUGUAUAAUGAUAUGAACCCAUCACGCGAUCUCAUAAAAUAUGCGAAUAUAUGUCAUGCGAACACAAAAUACAAACCACACACAAUACAUAUCAAGACCCAAUUGUGUAAUUGGAUACGGAUCAGUAAUAAUGAAUUUUCAUAACAGCCACCAUCCCCUCUUUUUUUUCUAAUUUAUUUUAUUUCCAGUGAGUUAUUAUUUAUGAUAAUUCACAACAAAUGUUUUUGUCAUUAUUUUGUUGGUAAAUAAUAAUAAGAUUAAACUUUACUUUCUUAAGCUCCUUCAAUUCUUUGGACGUUGGUGGUUUUUAUUCUAAUCUUAUUUUCUUAUUAAUUUCUUUUUUAUACAUGUAUGGUAUUAACAUUAUAUCAAUUAAAAUUUAUUCGACUGAAAAUAUAAAUUUAAAAUUGUACUUCAAUUUAUCUUAAUUUAUAAAUGAUGAAUUUAAAUUUAUUUUUUUCCUCUCAUUAUAUUUUUCCGGAUAAUAUUUGGCCCUAGAACAAAAACUAAAACAAUAAAACAAAUAUAUAUGUUUUCCAAAAAUUAAAUUGUCAACUUUAAAAAUAUAUAUUUUUAGCUAUUUAUCAUCAUAGAGAAAAAAAAAAAAAAGGUCACCUAGCCUCAUGCUUCAACACCUCAACCUAGAUUCUCAUCACCUGUAUUUAUCAUUGAUUCAGAUUUUUAUUUUUACUAUAUUCAAGAACUACCUAUAACUAUAUCUUCAAACUUCCUCUGGUUAAGUUCAUUCAUAGAUAGGUGAGUAAACUUGAGCUUCAGCUUCAACAAACACCAUAGUUUGAAGACACAAUUCUCUCAUACUAAAAAUAUGGAAGUUUACCAUGUAAUUAGAGAUUUGGUCUCAUUGCUUGUUGUUGGGUUAUUAAUGAUAUGGGGAUGGAGAGCUUUAAACUGGGUAUGGUUGGCCCCAAAGAGGCUCGAACGGUGCUUGAGACAACAGGGUUUUGCAGGGAAUCCUUACAGGUUCCUUUCUGGUGACAUAAAAGAGCUCUCAACUAUGAGCAGACAAACAAGAGCCAAACCUAUGCCUCUUAGUGAUGAUAUUGGGCCUUAUGUUGCUCCUUUUCUUCAUCAAACUGUCAACCAGUAUGGUAUGUUUUUUAUUAUUUAAUCUUCAAUUUAUGAUAAUUCUUUGUUAUUUAUGUAUGGAAUUUAUUGGGAGGAAAUGCAGGAAAGAAUUCAUUUACGUGGAUUGGUCCAAGACAAAGGGUGAACAUUAUGGACCCUGAAAAACUAAGAGAAAUAUUUACCAAAUUUAAUGACUUCCAGAAGAUACGUACCAAUCCACUGCUUACUUUGCUUGUAAGCGGCCUUGUUAACCUCGAAGGAGACCGAUGGAGCAAGCAUAGAAAAAUCAUAAACCCUUCAUUUCAUCAAGAUAAGUUGAAGGUAUAGAAUAGUUAUGGGUACUCAGACUUUACAGAAAAUAUCAUACUUAAACCUAUGCAUUUCUGAUUUAGAAAUGAUUGGGUGCAGAAUAUGUUGCCAGCAUUUUAUCAAAGUUGUAGUGACAUGUUAAGCAAAUGGGAGAAGAUGGUGUGUACAGAAGGAUACAGUGAGUUAGAUGUGUGGCCUUAUCUCGUAGAUUUGACAAGAGAUGUGCUUUCCCGAUCUGCUUUUGGAAGCAGCUUCGAAGAAGGCAGACGAAUUUUCCAAUUACUAGACGACCAACUCGUUCUCAGAAUCAAAUUACUACAAACUGUUUACAUUCCAGGAUGGAGGUAACCCUCAACUUAAUUUACUUGAAAAAGGUUGCAAAUAUUGGAAUUGGCUAAAUUCGUGUUCGUUUUCUUGAAGGUUUUUUCCCACAAAGACAAACAGGGAGGUGAAGAUGAAACACAAAGACAUAAAAGAGUUGCUUAGGGAAAUGAUAAACAGAAGAGAGAAGGCAAUUAAAGCAGGGGAAAAGAGCAAUGAGGACUUGUUGGACAUACUUGUGGAAUCCAAUAUCAGAGAAAUGGAAGCAAAGAAUAUGAGGAUGAGCAUUGAGGAUGUGAUUGAGGAAUGCAAGCUGUUUUACUUUGCUGGCCAAGAGACCACUUCGGUCUUACUGGUGUGGACUAUGGUUUUAUUAGCAAGGUAUCCCGAUUGGCAAAGUAAAGCAAGAGAGGAGGUUUUGCAUGUUUUGGGUGACAGUAAAC
RNAcentral lists this long non-coding RNA (26264 nucleotides) under Gossypium barbadense (sea-island cotton). RNAcentral describes it as "long non-coding RNA (GBAR_LNC000076)". Lineage: Eukaryota; Viridiplantae; Streptophyta; Magnoliopsida; Malvales; Malvaceae. The record is from RNAcentral.